GGAUGUGGGGGGUUUGCUGGCCUCUUAAUCUUAAGAGUUCAGCUCUCCUGAAAUGCAUUAGCAGAACAACCUUAUGUUCAUUGGUGUGGUACUAUCUACGCUAUUGAAUGUUGAGGGGGAAAGUCCAGCUUUCUGACGGUCCUUGGACAACUCAUCAUUAAUGUGACCUCAAAUCAGGUAGGACUACCCGCUGAACUUAA
This 200-nucleotide unclassified non-coding RNA is filed under the name soil metagenome. Its description in RNAcentral is "partial contains internal transcribed spacer 2 and large subunit ribosomal RNA". The record is from RNAcentral.